Long non-coding RNA from Homo sapiens (human), 2828 nucleotides. Ensembl annotates it as long intergenic non-protein coding RNA 1120. The record is from Ensembl. NCBI's taxonomy places the organism in Eukaryota, Metazoa, Chordata, Mammalia, Primates, Hominidae.
ACCUGGGAGACUGCUGGUAAAGAUGGGAGGUGGCCUUUGCCGCUUUCCAUCUUCUCACUGCAGUUUCUUCACGUGGGCCACUUGUACUUAAAAUGUCUUCUUAAUUUAUUCUUUUUACUUCCCCAGCUCCAAUUUGUCUACAGAUUUACAAAUUUGUUUUAUAGUUUUAUGACUCAAUUUGUAUUUUCGGUCCUAUGAAGCUUUUUGCCUUAAAUAUUUUUCUCUGUUUAUAAGAAUGUGCUGUUUCCUAGGCCAGUUUUGUACACACUCUUCCAUAGAAUAGAUCCAGAAGAAACACAACAAUACUGCCUUCAUCAUAUCAGGAGAUCUUGAUACCAAAUACGAGUGUUGCCUCCAAGAUGCAAGAUCCUGAGGGCUCCAAAGAAUCCACUGUCCGUCACAAAUCGACGGUCCGCCAGCUCAGUUUCAGAGACGUGGUGCUCCGCUGCAGGCCUCAUCCUCAGGUGCACCCUGGCAGUCAGCCAUCUGAAGGUACUAUGGAAAUUCAGUUACUCACUCUUGGGAGCAGAAGGAUUCCAGACCAUUCCUGUGUGCACCCUGGCAGGGAGCCAUCUGAAGGGACCACCUGGAGGGGAGCGGACCAGAGAGACUUCCUCGGAAUAGGCUGUGGCUCUUCACAAGGUGUCUUCUAUGCUUUAUUUGGGAGCCAUUGCCUUGAGCGUUAUUUCCCAGAUGGUUUUCUAAUGUCACCAACUGAAGAAAAGACCCAUGCACACAGGACACAGCAUGAUCUGAUGCUCACAGCGUUUUCCUUCCUCUCUGAAAACGGACUCAGCGAUUCUGGCAAGCGGUACUUACUCUGAGAUCACCCGUUUGCUAAGGAAAAAUCUUAGUACUGAGAAAGGUGACACUUUCCUCCCUGCUUUUGCUGGAGAGACACUUUGGUUAUGAGUUAUUUCUAGCAUAACACAGUUUAUUUCAGAAGUCCAGCUCAAUAGCAGACCAAGGCAUGAACAACACAUGAAAAUUUAUGUUGGGAAAAUAUAUAUUGUAUGUCUGCUUGAACUGUGGGUUCUUGAUUAAUACAAAACUGGUUGAUGAAGGUUGUUACCUUCAGGAAAAUGCAAAUCUAGUGGAGGGACAAAACUCACAGUAACAGUAUUUCAUCAUAGCCACCAUGAGGCAGUACAUUAUGAAGCAUGUCAGUGAUGAAUUACUGGCAGGCUGGUCUGUCAUUGAAGCUACACUCUGUUUCUAGCUUCUGUUGCUUCUGCUGUCUCUCUCCUAACAUCUGCAUAUUCCUCCACUUUGUGGUGGAGGAAGCAUUAGGGCUGAUAUAGGGGAUUUCCAGUGAGUGUAUAAUUCAGUGCAGAAUUGGCAGGAAUAUAUUCCAUGGUUAGGAGCUGGAGAAAGUAAGAAAUAAAAAUAGACCUUGAAGAAUGGGUAGGAUUUUCAAAAUCAGAGAUAAAGACGCAAGAAAGAGAAUUCAGUUUUUCAAGUUUCUAAGCAAUCAUAUUUACAUGCAUAGACAUUUUGCUGGUUUCUGUCUUACUAAUGUAUACUACACUGUGUCUAAUCACUCUGAGGGCUGGUAUUUCGGGUCUGUUCCAGACACUCAGGAAUCAUUUGUUCAGCUUGUUCUAUAUGCUGGAAACUGUUGCAGGGAUGGAUAUAUGCAGUCCUUGUCCCAAAGCAGCUUAUGACUCCAAGAGCAAGGGAUAGAAUAUGAACAUGUGUCUUUGGGUUACUUCUAGGGGUAAGAAUGAGUUCUGUGGGCAGAUGCAUACAGGAAGUGGGGAGAGGGAGAAUGAGAUACAAACUAUCCAGGCAGGAGGCAUUGCAGUAAUCAAAGUGAACUAUGAGAGAAGCCUGGGGUGUUGUAAAAAGAAAGAAACUUUGUCAUAAGUGGAAUGAUCAGACAAGUCUUAGAAGGCUGUAUUGCAGCCACAGUUCUGACUGGCUACCAAUCAGAAGAAGAGGGAAAUGAGAACUCUUCUUGGCUUGAGUACCUGAGUAAAGGAUCUAACCAUUCCCAGACAGGCGGCCCACAAGAGAGAAGCAGGUUAGAAGGAAAUACCACGAGUUGUGUUUUGGUCAUGUUAGGUAGAGGACAUUUGAAUGCAGAGUAAGUCAAACUCUUAGGGCAGGGGAGUCAAGAAUGCUCCAUUGCAGUGGUGUCAGCAAAAUGGCAGGGAAGGCAGCUCUAAGCUCCCAUCCUUCCAUAGGAAUGUUGAAUAAACAACCAGACACUGUCAGAACCAACUUUGUGAGAACCGGGAAAAUAAUCAAAGGUGUACGGCAACUAAAAGAAUGCUGGAUCAACACAAAGGAAACUUAAAAAUGAUAUGAAAGCUGUGUGGCAUUUUUGCUUGUCCCACAAGUCCAGCUUGGUGAUAGUCUUGAAGACGGCAGGCUGGAUUCCCCAGGCUGGGACCCUUAUCCCUGGUUCCAGAGAGGAGAGCAGAUCUGAUUCACAAAUGAUUAUGCUUGUCUGUUUUAAUCUUUCCAGAGGCUGUCUGAAGAAGGUAUUCAUCAUCUCUGUUUUACCUGACCCAGAAACCAUUCUGCUAGGAAAAACAGUGGGCAUUGCUUGAAAACAGUGUUCUGUGGUUGAAAAACCCACAGUCACCUUGGGCUGGUGGGAAUGUAAAAUGGCGCCUCUUCUGGAUCAUCGUUUGGCAGUUUCUCAAAAGGUCAAACGUAGAAUCACUAUUUGAUCCAACAAUUCUACUCCUAGGUAUAUCCCCAAAAGAAUUGAAAACAAGGAUGCAAACAUAUGCGUGUACACUAAUGUUUAUAGAAAAAAUAUUCACAAUAAUCAAAAGGCAGAAACAACCCAAGUGUCCAAUAACAGAAGAAUGAAUAAA